This 1027-nucleotide ribosomal RNA is filed under the name Salmonella enterica subsp. enterica. RNAcentral's name for it is "partial 23S ribosomal RNA". It matches the Rfam family "Bacterial large subunit ribosomal RNA", at positions 711 to 1735 of the family's 2925-position model. RNAcentral also lists the same sequence under 2 other names. The record is from RNAcentral. Lineage: Bacteria; Pseudomonadati; Pseudomonadota; Gammaproteobacteria; Enterobacterales; Enterobacteriaceae.
AGACCCGAAACCCGGUGAUCUAGCCAUGGGCAGGUUGAAGGUUGGGUAACACUAACUGGAGGACCGAACCGACUAAUGUUGAAAAAUUAGCGGAUGACCUGUGGCUGGGGGUGAAAGGCCAAUCAAACCGGGAGAUAGCUGGUUCUCCCCGAAAGCUAUUUAGGUAGCGCCUCGUGAAUUCAUCUCCGGGGGUAGAGCACUGUUUCGGCUAGGGGGCCAUCCCGGCUUACCAACCCGAUGCAAACUGCGAAUACCGGAGAAUGUUAUCACGGGAGACACACGGCGGGUGCUAACGUCCGUCGUGAAGAGGGAAACAACCCAGACCGCCAGCUAAGGUCCCAAAGUCAUGGUUAAGUGGGAAACGAUGUGGGAAGGCCCAGACAGCCAGGAUGUUGGCUUAGAAGCAGCCAUCAUUUAAAGAAAGCGUAAUAGCUCACUGGUCGAGUCGGCCUGCGCGGAAGAUGUAACGGGGCUAAACCAUGCACCGAAGCUGCGGCAGCGACGCUUAUGCGUUGUUGGGUAGGGGAGCGUUCUGUAAGCCUGCGAAGGUGGCCUGUGAGGGUUGCUGGAGGUAUCAGAAGUGCGAAUGCUGACAUAAGUAACGAUAAAGCGGGUGAAAAGCCCGCUCGCCGGAAGACCAAGGGUUCCUGUCCAACGUUAAUCGGGGCAGGGUGAGUCGACCCCUAAGGCGAGGCCGAAAGGCGUAGUCGAUGGGAAACGGGUUAAUAUUCCCGUACUUGGUGUUACUGCGAAGGGGGGACGGAGAAGGCUAUGUUGGCCGGGCGACGGUUGUCCCGGUUUAAGCGUGUAGGUGUGUGUUCCAGGUAAAUCCGGUUCACUUUAACACUGAGGCGUGACGACGAGGCACUACGGUGCUGAAGCAACAAAUGCCCUGCUUCCAGGAAAAGCCUCUAAGCAUCAGGUAACAUCAAAUCGUACCCCAAACCGACACAGGUGGUCAGGUAGAGAAUACCAAGGCGCUUGAGAGAACUCGGGUGAAGGAACUAGGCAAAAUGGUGCCGUAACU